UCGCCUUAGGCUCAGUAACACGUCGGUAACUGCCCUAAGGUCAGGGAUAACCUCGCGAAAGUGAGGGUAAUACUGAUAGGGAAUCUGCCUGGAAAGGGCUUUUCCUUAAACUCGUGCCUUAGGAUGGGCCGGGCGGCGGAUUAGGCUGUGGGCGGUGUAACGGACCACCAAACCAAAGAUCCGUACGGGCCAUGAGAGUGGUAGCCCGGAGAGGGACACUGAGAUACUGGUCCCAGCCCUACGGGGUGCAGCAGGCGCGAGAACUUUCCAAUGCACGCAAGUGUGAGAAGGGAAUUCCGAGUGCUCAAGCAUUGCUUGGGCUUUUGUCAAGUGUAAAUAGCUUGGCGAAUAAGGGGUGGGUAAGACUGGUGCCAGCCGCCGCGGUAACCCCAGCGCCCCGAGUGGGAAUCACGCUUAUUGGGUCUAAAGCGUUCGUAGCAGGCUUUGUAAAUCCCUUGUGAAAUUGUCCGGCUUAACCGGUCAGCGUGCAGGGGACACUGCAGGGCUCGAGAUCGGGAGAGGUUAGAAGUAUUCCUUGGGUACCGGUAAAAUGGGUUAAUCCAGGGAGGACUACCAAUGGCGAAGGCAUCUGACCAGAACGAUUCUGACUGUGAGGAACGAAAGCUAGGGGAGCAAAACGGAUUAGAUUCAUCUUUUGCUAAAAGCUGAACCAAAAGCAUGCAAUGUGGGAAUUUCACUUCGUGAAAUCCCACGGAACGAUUUAUCACUUUUGCCAAUAAAAAAUUUACUGUGAGAAAAUCGAAAUGCUUUUUGGUGCUAUGAGUGAAAGAUGCUAAUUACCCGGGUAGUCCUAGCCGUAAACGCUGUGAGCAAGGUAUUGCGUAUCCCUCGAGGA
This 856-nucleotide ribosomal RNA is filed under the name uncultured euryarchaeote. Its description in RNAcentral is "bacterial SSU rRNA". It matches the Rfam family "Archaeal small subunit ribosomal RNA", at positions 79 to 791 of the family's 1478-position model. The record is from RNAcentral. Lineage: Archaea; Methanobacteriati; Methanobacteriota.